RNAcentral lists this ribosomal RNA (695 nucleotides) under uncultured bacterium. RNAcentral describes it as "partial 16S ribosomal RNA". It matches the Rfam family "Bacterial small subunit ribosomal RNA", at positions 54 to 798 of the family's 1533-position model. The record is from RNAcentral.
CAUGCAGUCGANGCACUCUUCGGAGUGAGUGGCAGANGGGUGAGUAACGCNNNNNNNNNUGCCCUUUGGUUCGGAAUAGCCCUGGGAAACUGGNUGUAAUACCGAAUGUGCCCUUCGGGGGAAAGAUUUAUCGCCAAAGGAUCGGCCCGCGUUAGAUUAGCUAGUUGGUGAGGUAAAAGCUCACCAAGGCUACGAUCUAUAGCUGGUCUGAGAGGAUGAUCAGCCACACUGGGACUGAGACACGGCCCAGACUCCUACGGGAGGCAGCAGUGAGGAAUCUUGGACAAUGGGCGAAAGCCUGAUCCAGCCAUGCCGCGUGAAUGAUGAAGGCCUUAGGGUUGUAAAAUUCUUUCAGCAGGGAAGAUAAUGACGGUACCUGCAGAAGAAGCCCCGGCUAACUCCGUGCCAGCAGCCGCGGUAAUACGGAGGGGGCUAGCGUUGUUCGGAAUUACUGGGCGUAAAGCGCGCGUAGGCGGAUUGGUCAGUCAGAGGUGAAAGCCCGGAGCUCAACUCCGGAAUUGCCUUUGAUACUGCCAGUCUUGAGUUCGGGAGAGGUUAGCGGAAUUCCGAGUGUAGAGGUGAAAUUCGUAGAUNUUCGGAGGAACACCAGAGGCGAAGGCGGCUAACUGGACCGAUNCUGACGCUGANGCGCGAAAGCGUGGGNGCAAACAGGAUUANAUACCCUGGNAGNCCAC